This 468-nucleotide ribosomal RNA is filed under the name uncultured bacterium. RNAcentral's name for it is "partial 16S ribosomal RNA". It matches the Rfam family "Bacterial small subunit ribosomal RNA", at positions 28 to 507 of the family's 1533-position model. The record is from RNAcentral.
GACGAACGCUGGCGGCGUGCUUAACACAUGCAAGUCGAACGGAAAGGCCCUGCUUUUGUGGGGUGCUCGAGUGGCGAACGGGUGAGUAACACGUGAGUAACCUGCCCUUGACUUUGGGAUAACUUCAGGAAACUGGGGCUAAUACCGGAUAGGAGCUCCUGCUGCAUGGUGGGGGUUGGAAAGUUUCGGCGGUUGUGGAUGGACUCGCGGCUUAUCAGCUUGUUGGUGGGGUAGUGGCUUACCAAGGCUUUGACGGGUAGCCGGCCUGAGAGGGUGACCGGGCACAUUGGGACUGAGAUACGGCCCAGACUCCUACGGGAGGCAGCAGGGGAGAAUAUUGCACAAUGGGCGGAAGCGUGAUGCAGCAGCGCCGCGUGCGGGAUGACGGCCUUCGGGGUGUAAACCGCUUUCGCCUGUGACGAAGCGUGAGUGACGGUAAUGGGUAAAGAAGCACCGGCUAACUACGUG